GCUAAAUUCGACUUUUUAAAAUCUUUUUUUAAAAAAAUAAAAAAUUGGGCCCCUCAGCCCCAAUCCCUCCCCAAUUAUAAAAUAAGACAAUUUUUAUUGAAUAGUGUGGUUUGUUCUUGCUAGGGUUUGUUCAAAACGAUCCAUUUCAGGUUUAGUCAUUCUUGCUAGGGUUUGCUUGAAGACGAACGUGCGUUAUGGCUUUCCGUUUCGGAGGGUUCGUUUGUUUAUCCCUAAUUUCCUCUCAUAAUUUAUCCACCAUUUUUAUCGAAUUGAUUUCUCGUCUCAUGUUUUUUUCUUUAUGGUUUGAGUAGAAGACUUUGGGCUGCUGGUGCUCAUCGGGAAUUGCUUCGAGCUAUACAGACAGAUAUUAGGUUUAUAAAAAUCUGCCAAUUUUCCUUUCUAGCAGAAAUUUACCCCGUUCUUUUUUAGUUUUGAUUUUUGAUUUUAGUUUUUUCAGGGAAUAUUGCCAGCAAGUUCCAGCUCAUCGUGGUGAAUUUCUCGUCCAAAUUAUUUAAUUCUCGCUACAAAUUUCUGUUGUUACCGAUGAUUUUGGUCCUUGCAGUUAUAUUUUUUGCUGCCGGAGGAGCAUCAUCUUUUGCUUUCUGCCACGCUGUGUAUGUUCCUCAUUUAAACCAGAAAAUAUUGUUUCCUUUUUUUAAGCUUACUAAAUCAGUUCUCUUUGCUUUAAAAUGCCCUGUAUAAUGGUAGGAUAUAUUGUCUCUUUUCUUUUGAUUAAAAAGAAUCAAUCUUUUUAUCUUAGAAUAAUCCCUUUUAGUGUUUACUCAACUUGUUAUAUGAUUAAGUGGUAUUGGAGUCCCCGAGUUUAAUCUUGAUUUCUGCCUUGUAAUGAUCUCCUCUAUUUGCAGAAAUCUUUUAUUUCCUCUUAUGCUUAUUUCCGAAUUAAUUUUGGCAGGCUAGGCUCCAUGGUGAGGAAAGACAGGGAACGGUAAGUUGUACCACCUUGGUUGUUAUUUUCCUUCUUUUAUUGUUUUUUUGAGCGUGCAAACUGUCUCUUUUGCUUAACUUACCACACUUAUUGAUCCUAGUACAUGCUAAUUUAUUCUGCCGGUCAACAAGUAGUCCCUUUGUUCGCUUACUAUCUAUCGGUGGUAUCUCGUGGGUCCUUUAUUUAGCGGUCAACUGUAAAAUAUUAUUGCCACAAACCAGAAAAAAGUUUUGAGUACACCCAAAGACAAGAAUCAAUAAGACUAACACAAGAGCACCCAACUCCCUUAGCACCUUUUAGGAAGGGUGCAGUGAGAUUAGGUCUCAAGAAUAAGUACAAAUAUGCUCAAUUAAGUACUACAUUUUCUAGUUUGUUUAGACUCGCUAAACAUUGACACUCUUUCUCGAACAAUGAAUUGAAUCAGCUACAGUAUAAACUUUGUUGUACAGAGUGUGCUACCUGAAUAUUUUUUCAAUUCCUAGUUCGCCAGAUAAAGUAUAUCACUGCUCCAUAAAUUGCAAGCUACAGUAUCCUUUUUGAAUCUGCUCCGAUGUCUCGGUUUGAUCCACUGCAAGCUCUCCAUUGUCUCAGUUUGUGGUAGCAAAAAUCCCAACCAGGCAGUCACCUCUAUCCAAAUUGCAGAUGCUCAUUCAAAUGACACAAAUGGAUGACUGGAGUCUUCAAUAUAUUGCUGUACACAAACAACGCAGAAAGCAUUCGCACAAUGCACCUCCAUAUUCAUCAACCUACCCUUUGUUAGUAGCUUCUUGUGAGCUGAUAUCCAUAGUAUGAAUCUAUGUUUAGACUGUACUACCUUAGAGCAGAUAAGAUCCAGGCUCUAACAUGGUCAGAUAGCUCUUUGAGAUAGAGUACUAUCUCAGGGUCCAAAAUUAAUGGUGCUAGAUUAAGCUUGAGCUGAGCUGCCUGUGUUGGUAUCGGCAUUGCCUGAAUAACCUUCACCAGCAUCUUCUUGUCAAAGUUUUCUUUUUGGAAAAAAAUUCGUUCUUUUCUUUCCAGUAGAGGUCUUACCCAUCCUAUAGAUCUACCUCUCUGCUUGGCAUUUCCAAGUUGUCUUUUCUCACCUCUCUUAGAUUAUAGUCUUUAUAUACCAUUCUCAUGCUUCUCUCUUUUCCUGUUCAUCUCGUAUUUCUUUUCCACUUGUUACUGCCUUGACCUGAGGUUGUUGGCUUGGCUGGACACUUUGACAGGCCCCAACCUGCUUGUCUGAUUAUCUUUUUUCUACACUUUAAGGACGACACUUCUCAUUGUACCCUGCAUAAAGUGGAUGUUUGUUGAGUGCAUACAACAAAACAAAAGUCAACUAUGCUACAAUUUAGUUGAAACAACUAGCACGCCUCAGUCCCAAACAUAUGGGUUGGCUGUAGGAGCAUUCACUAACUUUUUUACUCCAAUUAAAUUGGAUGAUUUGCAUAAAUAUGAUCAUAUAGUGUCACUUUUUAAGUUUUGGCUCCAUUAAAAGAAGUUUAAUAGAAUUGAUCUCGCUAGAAAAGUCCAAAAAUCACAUUGGGUUGGCAGAUCCUCAUGAAUAGCCGUCAUAAAAUUCAUCAGAUUCACAGCUCAGCUCUGGAUGAUGGUUUUUUUUUUUUUUUUUUUUUUUUUUUUUUUAUUUAUUUAUUAAAGUUCAUUUUGCAUAACUUUUUAUAAUGGCACCUAAGCUUAACUAUCAUACGAAGGCUUCCUCGCGCCAAUUCCUGAAUUAAAUUCAUCUCCUUUCAACAUUACAUGAAAAAGGUGUUAUAAUUUCUCUACUGGCGGACGAAUCUAGGAGUUGUAUCUUUCAAUACGGAAGACAUGACUGUUGCUUUUAUGGAAUUCAGUAUUCGUGUGUAGGAGGACAGAGAUUUUUGAUAAGUUUUUGGUUUGAUAUCGACUUAUGUUUUGCAGCUUGUGAUUGAUGCAAUUGUUUUCGUUGUGCUUAAGAAAUGCACAUUUAAUUAUAUGUCAAUAUCUUAUGUAUCAGUUAAGAAGGUUAUUAUGCCUUGACAUCUAUAUUUCACUCUUAUUAUUGUCAUGCUAGUUUCAAGAAUCUAAUUCACUUUACUAUUUUCUUCGUCAGUGCUCGUGCUUUUUGCGAGGCGUGGAACAUUCCAACAAAUUGAGGAGCUGUUAAUUGUGUGGAGGUAUUUACGUGGAUGCAGACUUAAUUUUUAGGUCUCUAUUAAUAUAUAUAUAUACCUCCCACAUGUAUUUACGUGGAUGCUUAUAUUUUGGCUUGGCUCGACACUUUGACGGGCCCUAACCUGCUUGUCUAAUUAUCUUCCCCUAUACAUAUUAAGGAUUGUUUUCUUCUUCUUUUGUAUUUGGAAACAAGUACUUAUUGCACCCUCUGCUUAAAGUGAAUGUUAUUUAGUUCAAUACGACAAAACAAAAGCAAAGGGCGUCCUCAAGAUAUGUUUUGUUUUCAUAUAUAGCUAUACCAAUUACAAAUUCAUAUUUGCUC
RNAcentral lists this long non-coding RNA (3407 nucleotides) under Capsicum annuum. RNAcentral's name for it is "long non-coding RNA (CANN_LNC006042)". Lineage: Eukaryota; Viridiplantae; Streptophyta; Magnoliopsida; Solanales; Solanaceae. The record is from RNAcentral.